Molecule: unclassified non-coding RNA, 447 nt
Filed under: uncultured fungus
Lineage: Eukaryota; Fungi
Description: partial internal transcribed spacer 1
Source: RNAcentral
CUAUAUAGCCGUGAAUACGGAGACUCACUUCUCUACCUGGUUGCUGGCGUUUUUGUAUAUGGCGGCAGGGCUGAUGCUUGCUCAGCGCAUUAUCAUCUCAGCCAGCGGAAUGCGCUAUAGCGAAUUUUUGAAGAAUGUUCGCACCAAAUUGUUUUCUAAAAAAAAGUGAUAUUGAAAUAGCGUGAGAGCUUACUUUGUUAAUUCAUCACUUCGAUUGAAGGUCCGCUAUUCGCUGUGAGUUCAAUCGGUCGAUGCAACGCUAUCCUUAAUCAAGGGGGACGUUGUCAUAAAACGAAGAACUCGGAUCAACUACACGCCAGAGCAGAAGGCAAUUAUCUGGGACAGAUAUAAGCAAGGUGAUUCUCUACAUGAUAUCGCCAGAAUGUUCGAUAGAUAUCAUUCUUCCAUUAUGCCCACUAUCCACCAGACAGGCGGCUACCGUCCUCC